Molecule: transfer RNA, 76 nt
Filed under: Patescibacteria group bacterium
Lineage: Bacteria
Description: tRNA-Ala
Rfam family: tRNA
About the family: Transfer RNA (tRNA) molecules are approximately 80 nucleotides in length.
Source: RNAcentral
GGGCCGUUAGCUUAGUUGGUAGAGCACCACAUUUGCAAUGUGGAGGUCAGCGGUUCGAUCCCGCUACGGUCCACCA